AAUGAACGCUGGCGGCGCGCCUAAUACAUGCAAGUCGAGCGAGAAGACGUAGCAAUACGUUUGUAAAGCGGCGAACGGGUGAGGAAUACAUGGGUAACCUACCCUAGAGUGGGGAAUAACUAGCCGAAGGUUAGCUAAUACCGCGUACGCUCCUUGGACUUCGGUUCAGGGAGGAAAGCGAUGCCGAGGGUAUCGCGCUCUUGGAUGGGCUCAUGUCCUAUCAGCUUGNGGUGAGGUAACGGCUCACCAAGGCUUCGACGGGUAGCUGGUCUGAGAGGACGAUCAGCCACACUGGGCACUGCGACACGGGCCAGACUCCUACGGGAGGCAGCAGUAAGGAAUAUUGCGCAAUGGGCGAAAGCCUGACGCAGCGACGCCGCGUGGGGGA
Molecule: ribosomal RNA, 388 nt
Filed under: uncultured bacterium
Lineage: Bacteria
Description: bacterial SSU rRNA
Rfam family: Bacterial small subunit ribosomal RNA
Source: RNAcentral